GGGCGGUUAGCUCAGCUGGUUAGAGCGCCUGCCUUACAAGCAGGAUGUCGGGGGUUCGAAUCCCUCACUGCCCA
This 74-nucleotide transfer RNA is filed under the name Granulicella mallensis MP5ACTX8. Its description in RNAcentral is "Acidobacterium sp. MP5ACTX8 tRNA". It matches the Rfam family "tRNA". Rfam says of the family: Transfer RNA (tRNA) molecules are approximately 80 nucleotides in length. Their secondary structure includes four short double-helical elements and three loops (D, anti-codon, and T loops). Lineage: Bacteria; Pseudomonadati; Acidobacteriota; Terriglobia; Terriglobales; Acidobacteriaceae. RNAcentral also lists the same sequence under 2 other names. The record is from Rfam by way of RNAcentral.